GCCUCUGCUGCAGCCUGUAGAAUAGUGGAUUUGAUUUGCAGGACCUCUGGGAAAUCUACCUCAAAGACGUCAAUAUCUUUUAAGCAACUCAAGCGAAAUGCCCUUGCAUCCAUCCCUACAGGUUCAAGAGAUCACUAACCUGCUCCAAGAAGAACAACUUGUGCUGCUCCACCAUCAAAAGAAUUGAUGGCUGCUUCAAGCUUUCUAUCAAACCAGAGUGUUCUAACUGCAAUGAUUACCCCAGACACUUCGCUUGCAUUCUUCAAACGAUCCUUCAAAAUCUUGUCAUACAGGCUCUUCAGGUACGUCUCUCCUGCUAGUACCUCUGCUAACGGGUCAUGGAUCACAUGAUUCCAUAAUGCCCUCCCUGCCGCCGUCUGGCAUGCAGACCUUCGCAAGUUGUCCCAGUCGUUCUCUAUGGCCGCAUGGAGUUCGCUAACGCUGGCGGUGUAUAAUGAGUUGGGCAGCCUCAGCUCUGGCCACAGCUCAUCAGCUGGCAGGCCAUUCUCUUGAUCAGACAUUCUGUGUGAUCACUGUGGAAAGUAGUUUGGAAGAACAAUGAAAGGGAAGGAAUGAAGAGAUAAGCCAUGCAUUAUAUAAUUGGAAGGAGUAGAGGGGUUUGUUAGUAGGGGAUAAGGAAAGAGAGCCACACACAACCAACGUCUGAGAAAAAUAGUUGAAUCGUAUAUCCGGCUCUCUCUUUGGCGUUAAAGGAAGGUAAUGAAGUAGUCCACGACUACCACCAAUCUCAUAUUCCUGUUCCUAUUCUUGAACCCCUUUUGUUUGAGUCGCUUUCUUGGGUUGCUCUACCACUAGUUUGUCAAUCUCAAGUUCUAGGAUAGUAGGAUGAGAAAAGAAACAUGAGGGGCAAUACAGCUGAGUUGAUCGGAUAGUUGGCUUGAUAACCACAAAGUUUCAAUACAUCCUAUUGGUCUUUUUA
Molecule: long non-coding RNA, 940 nt
Organism: Ipomoea triloba (trilobed morning glory)
Lineage: Eukaryota; Viridiplantae; Streptophyta; Magnoliopsida; Solanales; Convolvulaceae
Exons: 2
Source: RefSeq, a predicted model, not a curated record